RNAcentral lists this transfer RNA (71 nucleotides) under Danio rerio (zebrafish). It matches the Rfam family "tRNA". From Rfam's summary of the family: Transfer RNA (tRNA) molecules are approximately 80 nucleotides in length. Their secondary structure includes four short double-helical elements and three loops (D, anti-codon, and T loops). Lineage: Eukaryota; Metazoa; Chordata; Actinopteri; Cypriniformes; Danionidae. The record is from Rfam by way of RNAcentral.
GCAUUGGUGGUUCAGUGGUAGACUUCUCGUCUCCCAUGCGGGAGACCCGGGUCCGAUCCCCGGCCAAUGCA